GUGAAGAACGCAGCGAAAUGCGAUAAGUAGUGUGAAUUGCAGAAUUCAGUGAAUCAUCGAAUCUUUGAACGCACAUUGCGCCCUUUGGUAUUCCUUAGGGCAUGCCUGUUCGAGCGUCAUUUAAACCUUCAAGCUCAGCUUGGUGUUGGGUGACUGUCCGCUUCACCGCGGACUCGCCUCAAAAUUAUUGGCGGCCGGUACAUUGGCUUCGAGCGCAGCAGAAACGCGAACUCGGGCCCGUCGUAUUGGCUCCCAGAAGCUAUCUUCACAAUUUUGACCUCGGAUCAGGUAGGGAUACCCGCUGAACUUAAGCAUAUCAAUAAGCGGAGGA
This 331-nucleotide unclassified non-coding RNA is filed under the name soil metagenome. Its description in RNAcentral is "partial contains 5.8S ribosomal RNA, internal transcribed spacer 2, and large subunit ribosomal RNA". The stretch from base 2 to 119 matches the Rfam family "5.8S ribosomal RNA", at positions 37 to 154 of the family's 154-position model. The record is from RNAcentral.